GACAGAGGAGCCAAGCGUUGUCCGGAUUGACUGGGCGUAAAGCGCACGCAGGCGGUCGCGCGCGUGGGGUGGGAAAACUGGCGGCUUAACUGCCAGAGGCCAUCCCAUACGGCGCAACUCGAGCCAUGCAGAGGUCCACGGAAUUGCCGGUGUAGUGGUGAAAUGCGUAGAGAUGUGGAGGAACACCGAUGGCGAAGGCAGCCCCCUGGGCUAACACUGACGCUCAUGCACGAAAGCGUGGGGAGCAAACAGU
Molecule: ribosomal RNA, 253 nt
Filed under: uncultured bacterium
Lineage: Bacteria
Description: partial 16S ribosomal RNA
Rfam family: Bacterial small subunit ribosomal RNA
Source: RNAcentral